This is a long non-coding RNA of Hyalella azteca, 226 nucleotides long. RefSeq lists it as uncharacterized. The transcript has 3 exons. Lineage: Eukaryota; Metazoa; Arthropoda; Malacostraca; Amphipoda; Hyalellidae. The record is from RefSeq and is a predicted model, not a curated record.
UCAUCACCUUCAUGAAGAAAAGAGAUGCGUGCAAGCCAGGCUUUGAAGCUGUGGGCGGAUUCUGCUACUUUUUCUCUACCGAUGUAGUCAACUUUGCUACGGCUAAAAGCUCGUGCCCAUUGGGCAGCGUACUCGCCUAUCCAUCCUCUGCUGCCCAAAUGGCUGAUCUCGUGGCUUACCUCAACAGCAACAAGUCUGGAAUAACCGGCUGGUGGGUCGAUUUGAC